Molecule: ribosomal RNA, 485 nt
Filed under: uncultured bacterium
Lineage: Bacteria
Description: bacterial SSU rRNA
Rfam family: Bacterial small subunit ribosomal RNA
Source: RNAcentral
GACGAACGCUGGCGGCGCGCCUAACACAUGCAAGUCGAACGAAGUUAAGUUAGCUGAAGUUUUCGGAUGGAAGCAGACUUAGCUUAGUGGCGAACGGGUGAGUAACACGUGAGCAACCUGCCCUUCAGUGGGGGACAACAGUUGGAAACGACUGCUAAUACCGCAUAAGACCACAGUACCGCAUGGUAUCGUGAUCAAAGGAUUUAUUCGCUGAAGGAUGGACUCGCGCCUGAUUAGCUAGAUGGUGAGGUAAUGGCUCACCAUGGCAACGAUCAGUAGCCGGACUGAGAGGUCGAUCGGCCACAUUGGGACUGAGACACGGCCCAGACUCCUACGGGAGGCAGCAGUGGGGAAUAUUGCACAAUGGAGGAAACUCUGAUGCAGCGACGCCGCGUGAGGGAAGAAGGUUUUCGGAUUGUAAACCUCUGUCUUCGAGGACGAAAAAAAUGACGGUACUCGAGGAGGAAGCCACGGCUAACUACGUG